Long non-coding RNA from Poecilia latipinna (sailfin molly), 937 nucleotides. RefSeq lists it as uncharacterized. NCBI's taxonomy places the organism in Eukaryota, Metazoa, Chordata, Actinopteri, Cyprinodontiformes, Poeciliidae. The record is from RefSeq and is a predicted model, not a curated record. The transcript is spliced from 2 exons.
GUGCAAGUUGUAAUAAAGAGAAAGAGCGACCGUUAACAGGUGUGCUCUGUGAAACUAGCUGAUUGUGGGCUGCUCAAUCUGGCUAAUUCACAGAGUGAAAAAGGGUGGGACAUCUGGAUGGAGGUCGUUAGAAACCAGGCUAGUCUUUCUCGCACCCAGCUUAAACAGAGUUUACUUGAGUUCUGGGUAGGGUAAAUCUCGGCAGAUUUAGGAAACUCAAUUCACCCGUUAGACGGAGAGCUGGUAGCAACGUCUCCCUCCUCUCAGAAGAGGAAGUAGAGAGAGAGAAGGGGGGGGGAGGUGUUGUGCAACAACAAGGUGGCGCCCAACGUGGGGCCACGCCCCUUGAGAAGGGGUAGAGCCCUAGAAAACCAAGUCAGUAAAAACAGAGAGGCGAAUAUCUGAAUAGCUCACUUGGAGGCUAGCUCUUAGGAAAUAGUGUUAGUGGUGGCUGAUCCGGCUGUCAGUCACAACCCUUGCAGUAACUGUAUGGCAUGCAGGUGAGGGAGAGCUUCUGCUGAGGAUAGGCAUAGGUAUCCAGAAGCGGAGCCAGUAGCCAAUAGCCUAAACCCAUCCCUGCUUGAAGGCUAAAGAGAGGCUUUGGGGGAAAGGCGACUCGAAGACAAAGACAAUCAUGGAUGAAGGAAAAGAAGAAGAAGAAGAAGGAUCAAAACUCCAGCAAACGUCAAAAGCAGAGCAGGAGAGAAGAUGAAGAAGAUCCCUGUCUAGAUCCCUGUUCCAGUCAGCCCCAGUGAGAGUGAUUCGGUAUGGAGAGGGAUUUGAGACAUGGACUCGAGCGAAUCAAAGGAAGGUUGUCUUUGUUGGAAUCGAGAAGUGGGACAGUUCUCCCAAGGGAAGGGAGGCCCCAUGGAUAACAGAAAAGAGAGGUCAGGAGUACCUCUUGGUGCUGAUGGACAUGGUGUAACAGUGACAGCUG